AAGAUUUGAUUCGAUUUUAUCGAUGUGAGUAUGGUGUAGCCCCGAAGGAAGUUCUGGAAACUUUUCCAAUAUGUGUUUUCUGCCACAUUUCUCAGAGGUUACAUACAUGUAUUUCUUUCCAUCCUCAGUUGUAGACUGAGUAUCAUAUCCGUGAAGAUAUAUGUCUUUAAAACUCAACAAAUUCCUUUUAGAACUUGGAGAAUA
Molecule: long non-coding RNA, 204 nt
Filed under: Brassica napus (rape)
Lineage: Eukaryota; Viridiplantae; Streptophyta; Magnoliopsida; Brassicales; Brassicaceae
Description: long non-coding RNA (BNAP_LNC026509)
Source: RNAcentral